RNAcentral lists this long non-coding RNA (1392 nucleotides) under Nothobranchius furzeri (turquoise killifish). RNAcentral describes it as "lncRNA (ENSNFUG00015009860.1)". The record is from RNAcentral. Lineage: Eukaryota; Metazoa; Chordata; Actinopteri; Cyprinodontiformes; Nothobranchiidae.
AUGCACAGAGCAGAUAAUACACGUGAUUAUAGAGAGACAUCUGUUUAUCGGGAAGAUUCUCCACCUAGGCGGAGGUUUGACAGGUCUCGAUCACGGGACAGAUUUCAAUCAAGAGAGAGAUCGCCAAGUAACAUCUACCCCCGUAGAAACCAGUUCUCUCCAACUAGACCGAUGUUUCACAGGUCUCAACCCAGGGACAGAUCUCCAAAUAAUGUCUGUCGAUUUAGCAACCUGGAUUCUGCACCUAGGCGGAGUUUUCACAGGUCGCCAUCAAGAGACAGACCUCCAAGAAACACCUACCAUUCUAGAGGCAUGUGGCACCUCGAUGAGCAGCAGAGAGCAGAUUUACAAACCCUCGAAGAAAAACUGGAUGCUCAAGUGGAAGCCACUCACGAAUUGGAGGUUAAAUGCCAGAAAAUUGGACAAUCUUUGGAAAAGGAGCAAUCUGAUAACAAAAUCCUUCGGUCCAAAAACACUGAACUGAGACUUCUGAACGAGCAGCAGAGUGCAGAAAUUCAGUCCCUUAAAGAAGCGCUUUCUGCACAAGUGGAGGCUACCAAAAUUAUGGAGGACAAAUACCGUAAGUCUGAAGAUCGGACUUUGAGGUUACACUGCAAACUAGUUCAAGAGAAGUGGGAAAGACAAGACGAAACUGAAAAUUUGAACCAAGAAAAAGAGGAUUUACUGGCUUCUUGCAAGAGCUUAGAGGAACAUCUUCACAUUAAAACUGAAAGUGAGUCCAGGCUGCAGAAUGAGCUAAACGCAGCUAUGAGACACCUCAACAAGUUGCUACUGGAAGCAGAGGAUUUCCAUAAAGGAAAGGCUGAAACGUGUUCCACGCUGCAAGACGCACAGGACCACAAUAAGCAGAGGAACGAUGUGCAGGACUCUACAAACACAGGGUCUAAACAGCCCAACAAAAAGGCUGUCAAACGGCAGAUGGUAACGGAAAAUCAGAAAGAGAACAGCAUUGUCCUGACUAACGAAAGGAGCCUGAAGGUUGACUCACAGGAAGCACAGGGUCCUACCUCAGGGGACGUCAGGCUGGAAUCCCAGCUCCUUGAAUCAGAGCCGACACACCAGCCUUAUCUUCUAAAUUUUCAGAAAGAUUUUAGUGAAAUCAGCAAAAGUUUAGCUGAUACAUUAGCUCCAUUAGACGACUUCAAUAACAGCAAACCACAAAGUUCUGCCACAACAUCAAACUCUCCAACCAGGAAGCGUAAGAGAUCAGACUGUCAGUCUGUAUCUGAUUCUUCUGCCUCUCAGAUCCAUGGAGAAAAGUCCUUAAGUAUUACAAAGAACUUUGAGGAACCUCCAGCUAAAAGUUCAAAAACAGACUCAGAGGAAACAGAAACAACAAAAUGGUUUCUGAAUCCUGUAACCUUCAAAUAG